RNAcentral lists this ribosomal RNA (720 nucleotides) under Staphylococcus sp. Its description in RNAcentral is "bacterial SSU rRNA". It matches the Rfam family "Bacterial small subunit ribosomal RNA", at positions 57 to 759 of the family's 1533-position model. The record is from RNAcentral. Lineage: Bacteria; Bacillati; Bacillota; Bacilli; Caryophanales; Staphylococcaceae.
GCAAGUCGAGCGAACAGACGAGGAGCUUGCUCCUCUGACGUUAGCGGCGGACGGGUGAGUAACACGUGGAUAACCUACCUAUAAGACUGGGAUAACUUCGGGAAACCGGAGCUAAUACCGGAUAAUAUAUUGAACCGCAUGGUUCAAUAGUGAAAGACGGUUUUGCUGUCACUUAUAGAUGGAUCCGCGCCGCAUUAGCUAGUUGGUAAGGUAACGGCUUACCAAGGCAACGAUGCGUAGCCGACCUGAGAGGGUGAUCGGCCACACUGGAACUGAGACACGGUCCAGACUCCUACGGGAGGCAGCAGUAGGGAAUCUUCCGCAAUGGGCGAAAGCCUGACGGAGCAACGCCGCGUGAGUGAUGAAGGUCUUCGGAUCGUAAAACUCUGUUAUUAGGGAAGAACAAAUGUGUAAGUAACUAUGCACGUCUUGACGGUACCUAAUCAGAAAGCCACGGCUAACUACGUGCCAGCAGCCGCGGUAAUACGUAGGUGGCAAGCGUUAUCCGGAAUUAUUGGGCGUAAAGCGCGCGUAGGCGGUUUUUUAAGUCUGAUGUGAAAGCCCACGGCUCAACCGUGGAGGGUCAUUGGAAACUGGAAAACUUGAGUGCAGAAGAGGAAAGUGGAAUUCCAUGUGUAGCGGUGAAAUGCGCAGAGAUAUGGAGGAACACCAGUGGCGAAGGCGACUUUCUGGUCUGUAACUGACGCUGAUGUGCGAAAG